Molecule: ribosomal RNA, 629 nt
Filed under: Penicillium sp. MT 8
Lineage: Eukaryota; Fungi; Ascomycota; Eurotiomycetes; Eurotiales; Aspergillaceae
Description: eukaryotic LSU rRNA
Rfam family: Eukaryotic large subunit ribosomal RNA
Source: RNAcentral
ACCCGCUGAACUUAAGCAUAUCAAUAAGCGGAGGAAAAGAAACCAACAGGGAUUGCCCCAGUAACGGCGAGUGAAGCGGCACGAGCUCAAAUUUGAAAGCUGGCUCCUUCGGGGUCCGCAUUGUAAUUUGCAGAGGAUGCUUCGGGAGCGGUCCCCAUCUAAGUGCCCUGGAACGGGCUGUCAUAGAGGGUGAGAAUCCCGUAUGGGAUGGGGUGCCCGCGCCCGUGUGAAGCUCCUUCGACGAGUCGAGUUGUUUGGGAAUGCAGCUCUAAAUGGGUGGUAAAUUUCAUCUAAAGCUAAAUAUUGGCCGGAGACCGAUAGCGCACAAGUAGAGUGAUCGAAAGAUGAAAAGCACUUUGAAAAGAGAGUUAAAAAGCACGUGAAAUUGUUGAAAGGGAAGCGUUUGCGACCAGACUCGCCUACGGGGUUCAGCCUGCCUUCGGGCAGGUGUACUUCCCCGUGGGCGGGCCAGCGUCGGUUUGGGCGGCCGGUCAAAGGCCCUCGGAAUGUAACGCCUCUCGGGGCGUCUUAUAGCCGAGGGUGCCAUGCGGCCUGCCCGGACCGAGGAACGCGCUUCGGCUCGGACGCUGGCUUAAUGGUCGUAAACGACCCGUCUUGAAACACGGACC